CCAAUCAGUAAUGUUAAAAGUCAAGAUAGUAUUUACUCUUGGAUUGGGGUAGUGACUGAAAGGGGACAUGAAAGAACUUCUGGAGUUGGAAAUAAUUCUAUUCCUUGACCUGUAGUCUGAUCACAGGGACGUGGUCAUUUGGUAGAAUUUCAUCAGCGAAGGCACAUUUCCAAAGCUUGGAGGAGAGGCUGACCGGAUGUCGUUCCCUUACACUGACGCAAAGCCUAGUGCGGUUGUGGGAGAGGUAUCUGCAGAAGCAGUGCUGCCACCAGGGGCUGGGGCUGUCCUGUCUGACUUCGCGUCCGAGCCGAGCCCACUCGAGCCGCAACCAUGUCUGGGAAUGAGAUGGUUUUUUAUCCAACUAUGAGUAAGAAGAAAAAGAAGAAGAAGAAGCCUUUUAUGUUAGAUGAGGAAGGGGAUACCCAAACAGAGGAAAUUCAGCCUUCAGAAACGAAAGAAGUGGAGCCAGAGGCAACCAAGGACAAGGAUCUGGAAGCUGAUGAAGAGGACAGCAGGAAAAAAGACGCUUCUGAUGAUCUAGAUGACUUGAACUUCUUUAAUCAAAAGAAAAAGAAGAAAAAAACUUUGAUAUUGAUGAAGAUGAAGAAUGUGUAAAGGAUCUUAAGAUUGAAAAUAAUGUUCAAGAACCAGCUGAAGCAGAGGAUGACCUUGACAUUAUGCUUGGCAAUAAAAAGAAGAAAAAGAAUGUCAAGUUCCCAGAUGAGGAUGAAAUACUAGAGAAAGAUGAAGCUCUAGAAGAUGAAGACAGCAAAAAAGAUGAUGGUAUCUCAUUCAGUAAUCAGAUAGGCCCUGCUUAGGCAGGCUCAGAAAGAGACUACACAUAUGAGGAGCUGCUGAAUCGAGUGUCAACAUCACAAGGGAAAAGUAUCAAGACAUGGUUGCUGGGGAGAAAAGGAAAUUUGUCAUGAAACCACCAUAGGUUGUCCGAGUCGGAACCAAGAAAACUUCUUUUGUCAACUUUACAGAUAUCUGUAAACUAUUACAUCGUCAGCCCAAACAUCUCCUUGCAAUUUUGUUGGCUGAGCUGGGUACAAGUGGUUCCAUAGAUGGUAAUAACCAACUUGUAAUCAAAGGAAGAUUCCAACAGAAACAGAUAGAAAAUGUCUUGAGAAGAUAUAUCAAGGAAUGUGUCACUUGUCACACAUGCUGAUCACAAAAUGCCAUAGAAGGACACACGAUACUAUUUCCCACAGUGUGAAACUUGUCAUUUUAAAUGUUCUGUUGCCAGUAUCAAAACCGGCUUCUAGGCUGUCGCGGGUAGCGAGCACAGUUCCAUGUCAAAGCUAACUAAUUUGCUAAUCACUGAUUUUGCAAAGCAUGUUGUGGAGUUGUGCCCUGACAGGUUUGCCAUCAGAGUGGAUACACUCAAUCUUGUUGUAUUAAAAACAAGAUAA
Molecule: RNA transcript, 1415 nt
Organism: Cercocebus atys (sooty mangabey)
Lineage: Eukaryota; Metazoa; Chordata; Mammalia; Primates; Cercopithecidae
Gene name: eukaryotic translation initiation factor 2 subunit 2 pseudogene
Exons: 1
Source: RefSeq, a predicted model, not a curated record